UUAAGUUAAUAAGGGCGCACGGUGGAUGCCUUGGCACUAGAAGCCGAUGAAGGACGUGACUAACGACGAAAUGCUUUGGGGAGCUGUAAGUGAGCAAUGAUCCAGAGAUGUCCGAAUGGGGGAACCCGGCAGGUAAUGCCUGUCACUCAUUACUGUUAAGGUAAUGUAGAGGAAGACGCAGUGAACUGAAACAUCUAAGUAGCUGCAGGAAGAGAAAGCAAAAGCGAUUGCCUUAGUAGCGGCGAGCGAAACGGCAAGAGGGCAAACCGAAGAGUUUACUCUUCGGGGUUGUAGGACUGCAACGUGGACUUAAAGAUUAUAGAAGAACUACCUGGGAAGGUAGGCCAAAGAGAGUAAUAGCCUCGUAUUCGAAAUAGUCUUUAUACCUAGCAGUAUCCUGAGUACGGCGAGACACGAGAAAUCUCGUCGGAAUCUGGGAGGACCAUCUCCCAACCCUAAAUACUCUCUAGUGACCGAUAGUGAACCAGUACCGUGAGGGAAAGGUGAAAAGCACCCCGGGAGGGGAGUGAAAUAGAACCUGAAACCGUGUGCCUACAACAAGUUCGAGCCCGUUAAUGGGUGAGAGCGUGCCUUUUGUAGAAUGAACCGGCGAGUUACGAUAUGAUGCGAGGUUAAGUUGAAGAGACGGAGCCGUAGGGAAACCGAGUCUUAAUAGGGCGCAUUAGUAUCAUGUCGUAGACCCGAAACCAUGUGACCUACCCAUGAGCAGGUUGAAGGUGAGGUAAAACUCACUGGAGGACCGAACCAGGGCACGUUGAAAAGUGCUUGGAUGACUUGUGGGUAGCGGAGAAAUUCCAAACGAACUUGGAGAUAGCUGGUUCUCUCCGAAAUAGCUUUAGGGCUAGCGUCGAUGUUAAGUCUCUUGGAGGUAGAGCACUGUUUGGGUGAGGGGUCCAUCCCGGAUUACCAAUCUCAGAUAAACUCCGAAUGCCAAUGAAUUAUGGUCGGCAGUCAGACUGCGAGUGCUAAGAUCCGUAGUCGAAAGGGAAACAGCCCAGACCACCAGCUAAGGUCCCAAAAUAUAUGUUAAGUGGAAAAGGAUGUGGGGUUGCACAGACAACUAGGAUGUUAGCUUAGAAGCAGCUAUUCAUUCAAAGAGUGCGUAAUAGCUCACUAGUCGAGUGACCCUGCGCCGAAAAUGUACCGGGGCUAAAACAAUUUACCGAAGCUGUGGAUACCUUUAUAGGUAUGGUAGGAGAGCGUUCUAUGUGUGGAGAAGGUGUACCGUGAGGAGCGCUGGAACGCAUAGAAGUGAGAAUGCCGGUAUGAGUAGCGAAAGACAGGUGAGAAUCCUGUCCACCGUAAGACUAAGGUUUCCAGGGGAAGGCUCGUCCGCCCUGGGUUAGUCGGGACCUAAGGAGAGACCGAAAGGUGUAUCCGAUGGACAACAGGUUGAUAUUCCUGUACUAGAGUAUGUAGUGAAGGAGGGACGCAGUAGGCUAACUAAAGCGUGCGACUGGAAGUGCACGUCUAAGCAGUGAGGUGUGAAUUGAGUUAAAUGCUUAAUUCUAUAACAUUGAGCUGUGAUGGGGAGCGAAGUUUAGUAGCGAAGUUAGUGACGUCACACUGCCAAGAAAAGCUUCUAGCGUUAAUCAUACUCUACCCGUACCGCAAACCGACACAGGUAGUCGAGGCGAGUAGCCUCAGGUGAGCGAGAGAACUCUCGUUAAGGAACUCGGCAAAAUGACCCCGUAACUUCGGGAGAAGGGGUGCUGGCUUUCAGUCAGCCGCAGUGAAUAGGCCCAAGCAACUGUUUAUCAAAAACACAGCUCUCUGCUAAAUCGUAAGAUGAUGUAUAGGGGGUGACGCCUGCCCGGUGCUGGAAGGUUAAGAGGAGUGCUUAGCGUAAGCGAAGGUAUGAAUUGAAGCCCCAGUAAACGGCGGCCGUAACUAUAACGGUCCUAAGGUAGCGAAAUUCCUUGUCGGGUAAGUUCCGACCCGCACGAAAGGCGUAAUGAUUUGGGCACUGUCUCAACGAGAGACUCGGUGAAAUUUUAGUACCUGUGAAGAUGCAGGUUACCCGCGAC
RNAcentral lists this ribosomal RNA (2048 nucleotides) under gut metagenome. RNAcentral describes it as "bacterial LSU rRNA". It matches the Rfam family "Bacterial large subunit ribosomal RNA", at positions 3 to 2076 of the family's 2925-position model. The record is from RNAcentral.